Molecule: long non-coding RNA, 445 nt
Organism: Tachysurus fulvidraco (yellow catfish)
Lineage: Eukaryota; Metazoa; Chordata; Actinopteri; Siluriformes; Bagridae
Exons: 4
Source: RefSeq, a predicted model, not a curated record
UAGAGAGAUGAAUCUGUGUGAAAUGGCAAUGUUUUGUAAAUGAAGUUAAAUGUAUUAAAAGUCUUCAUUUCCUCUUGUGGAGACUUUUGUGAUGUUCUGUACAAUAGACCUGAUUUAAUAAGGGUGUAAACUCAGAGUGAUAAAUGGACUGUUUCCUUUCUUCCAGUUGAUCCCACCAUCAGUUCUGUCUCACACACCACACACUUCACUCCAACCCAUGGGGACACGACACAUUCAGUAACAGAUAAGUUACUAACUUAUACUACCCACAAAACCCUCAUCACUUCCUCAUCUCAGGGUUUCCAAACUUUACCUGUCAUCACUGCCGUGUCUGUUGUUCUCGUGCUGCUUCUCAUUGCCCUUUUAUUCACUGGACUGAUACAGUGGAAAAAGAAGAACCAAGCCUCAUCUUCAGCCCAAUCCUUAAAAAGCUCCUCAAACCCUG